GCCAGCAGCUAUAUCACCCUGCAAAACUCACAACUGGCAACCCACUGAAGCUAAGCAGUAGUGGGCCUGGCCAGUACCUGGAUGGGAGACCUCCUGGGAAAGCUAAGGGUUGUUGCUGGAA
Molecule: ribosomal RNA, 121 nt
Filed under: Lepisosteus oculatus (spotted gar)
Lineage: Eukaryota; Metazoa; Chordata; Actinopteri; Semionotiformes; Lepisosteidae
Source: RNAcentral